Molecule: ribosomal RNA, 588 nt
Filed under: Kocuria sp. MO.39
Lineage: Bacteria; Bacillati; Actinomycetota; Actinomycetes; Micrococcales; Micrococcaceae
Description: bacterial SSU rRNA
Rfam family: Bacterial small subunit ribosomal RNA
Source: RNAcentral
CUGGGUGGAUGAGUGGCGAACGGGUGAGUAAUACGUGAGUAACCUGCCCUUGACUCUGGGAUAAGCCUGGGAAACUGGGUCUAAUACUGGAUAUGACCUCCUGUCGCAUGGUGGGGGGUGGAAAGGGUUUGUACUGGUUGUGGAUGGGCUCACGGCCUAUCAGCUUGUUGGUGGGGUAAUGGCCUACCAAGGCGACGACGGGUAGCCGGCCUGAGAGGGUGACCGGCCACACUGGGACUGAGACACGGCCCAGACUCCUACGGGAGGCAGCAGUGGGGAAUAUUGCACAAUGGGCGCAAGCCUGAUGCAGCGACGCCGCGUGAGGGAUGACGGCCUUCGGGUUGUAAACCUCUUUCAGCACGGAAGAAGCGAAAGUGACGGUACGUGCAGAAGAAGCGCCGGCUAACUACGUGCCAGCAGCCGCGGUAAUACGUAGGGCGCAAGCGUUGUCCGGAAUUAUUGGGCGUAAAGAGCUCGUAGGCGGUUUGUCGCGUCUGCUGUGAAAGCCCGGGGCUUAACCCCGGGUGUGCAGUGGGUACGGGCAGACUUGAGUGCCGUAGGGGAGACUGGAACUCCUGGUGUAGCGGU